CUGGCCAGACCCUCCCUCCUCCUCCUCUCCUCCGCCCCAACUAGCCGCUCCACGCCUCGCUGCUCGUUCCCACUUCGCCAUACUCGCUACCUGCCUCGACCUCCUCAACUGCCCUCUUUCUCAAGUUUCCUCUUCGCCGUAGCCGUAACCCCCAAGUCAUGGCUUCGAACAAAUUGAGAGUGUCUACAUCUACGAUUCCUUCAAUAUGGUGAAAAGCUAGCAGAGCAUUUUUCACCUCAAACGGGCUUGACAUCGAACUCAUCCAGUAGUCCUUGUCGCUCCACGCUCCCUGAUCGCCGUUGCUCCCCACUACAAUUACUUGUAGCAGUAGUCGUAGCCCCCAAGCCAUGGCUUCGAACAAAAGGAAGGGAUCGUCAUCCUCGAUUUCUUCAAAAUCAAAGUCUUCCUCUAAAUGCAAGAAUCCUCUUUCAUCGUGUUUGAAGGAACUUCCGGCAUUGAUGACAAGUACACUACUGUGCAAUUUACUGGGGAGAUAAUGAACUAUUCCAGCUAUUGUUAUUUCGUCAUAUCUUUGGUCCAAGUCAUUCUCAUGUUUAAUAAGUUUUUAUGAAUUUUCAUAUUGCAGUUUUUUUGUUCAGUAUAAAUAUGGGUGAACUACAACAAUUAUAUCACU
Long non-coding RNA from Asparagus officinalis (garden asparagus), 634 nucleotides. RefSeq lists it as uncharacterized. The record is from RefSeq and is a predicted model, not a curated record. The transcript is spliced from 3 exons. NCBI's taxonomy places the organism in Eukaryota, Viridiplantae, Streptophyta, Magnoliopsida, Asparagales, Asparagaceae.